UACGUAGGGGGCAAGCGUUGUCCGGAAUCAUUGGGCGUAAAGCGCGUGUAGGCGGCUCGAUAAGUCUGCUGUAAAAGUCCAGGGCUCAACCCUGGAAAGCCGGUGGAAACUGUCGAGCUAGAGUCCGGAAGAGGCGAGUGGAAUUCCUGGUGGUAGCGGUGAAAUGCGCAGAUAUCAGGAGGAACACCAAUGGCGAAGGCAGCUCGCUGGGACGGUACUGACGCUGAGACGCGAAAGCGUGGGGAGCAAACAGG
This 254-nucleotide ribosomal RNA is filed under the name uncultured bacterium. RNAcentral's name for it is "partial 16S ribosomal RNA". It matches the Rfam family "Bacterial small subunit ribosomal RNA", at positions 524 to 776 of the family's 1533-position model. The record is from RNAcentral.